RNAcentral lists this small nuclear RNA (106 nucleotides) under Chinchilla lanigera (long-tailed chinchilla). The record is from RNAcentral. Lineage: Eukaryota; Metazoa; Chordata; Mammalia; Rodentia; Chinchillidae.
GUGCUUGCUUUGUCAGUGCAUACACUAAAAUUGGAAAAAUAUAGAGAAGGUUAGUGUGGUUCUGUGCAAGGAUGGCACAUAGCUUUGUGAAGUGUUCCCUAUUUUU